This 402-nucleotide ribosomal RNA is filed under the name uncultured bacterium. RNAcentral describes it as "bacterial SSU rRNA". It matches the Rfam family "Bacterial small subunit ribosomal RNA", at positions 355 to 774 of the family's 1533-position model. The record is from RNAcentral.
UGGGGAAUAUUGCACAAUGGGCGAAAGCCUGAUGCAGCAACGCCGCGUGAGUGAUGAAGGCCUUCGGGUUGUAAAGCUCUGUCUUCUGGGACGAUAAUGACGGUACCAGAGGAGGAAGCCACGGCUAACUACGUGCCAGCAGCCGCGGUAAUACGUAGGUGGCAAGCGUUGUCCGGAUUUACUGGGCGUAAAGGAUGCGUAGGCGCAUACUUAAGUCAGAUGUGAAAAUCCCGGGCUUAACUUGGGAACUGCAUUUGAAACUGGGUAUCUAGAGUGCGGGAGAGGACAGUGCAAUUCCUAGUGUAGCGGUGAAAUGCGUAGAGAUUAGGAAGAACACCAGUGGCGAAGGCGACUUUCUGGACCGUAACUGACGCUGAGGCAUGAAAGCGUGGGGAGCAAACA